RNAcentral lists this transfer RNA (73 nucleotides) under Pelagimonas varians. RNAcentral describes it as "Rhodobacteraceae bacterium SH4-1 tRNA". It matches the Rfam family "tRNA". From Rfam's summary of the family: Transfer RNA (tRNA) molecules are approximately 80 nucleotides in length. Lineage: Bacteria; Pseudomonadati; Pseudomonadota; Alphaproteobacteria; Rhodobacterales; Roseobacteraceae. RNAcentral also lists the same sequence under 1 other name. The record is from Rfam by way of RNAcentral.
GGGCCGUUAGCUCAGUUGGUAGAGCAACUGACUUUUAAUCAGUUGGCCGCAGGUUCGAAUCCUGCACGGCUCA